Long non-coding RNA from Neogale vison (American mink), 316 nucleotides. RefSeq lists it as uncharacterized. NCBI's taxonomy places the organism in Eukaryota, Metazoa, Chordata, Mammalia, Carnivora, Mustelidae. The record is from RefSeq and is a predicted model, not a curated record. The transcript is spliced from 3 exons.
GGCCGGGUGGUGGAUGAGUGCGCCCGGGCCCGCGUGCUUGCCAGGCACACCUCGGCCAGGUUUUGUGGAAGAUUGCUUCUGGGAAUGCUCAAACUCUGUGAGAAGAUUCGUAGAGUGCCCCCUUGCCCCUGGCACCCCCAGCUCCAGCUGCUGCCGUGGAGAUAUUAGGGGGACAUAGCCCUGAUGUCAUCUUCUUGUUCAUAUGCUGGAAAGGACCUGAAUUAAAGAAAGAUGCUGCCCUGAGCCUCAGUUCCUCCGCUUCCCUUGUAUGGAUGCUACUGGAGGGUUCAGCUGGGAAGUCAAGGUAAAGGUCAAG